GGAAAGGUGGCAGAGUGGUUGAAUGCGGCGGUCUCGAAAACCGUUGUUCCGGAUUCCGGAACCGGGGGUUCGAAUCCCCCCCUUUCCG
This 88-nucleotide transfer RNA is filed under the name bacterium BRH_c32. RNAcentral describes it as "tRNA-Ser". It matches the Rfam family "tRNA". Rfam says of the family: Transfer RNA (tRNA) molecules are approximately 80 nucleotides in length. The record is from RNAcentral. RNAcentral also lists the same sequence under 3 other names.